GAUGAACGCUGGCGGCGUGCUUAACACAUGCAAGUCGAACGAAGCACUUUAUUUGAUUUCCUUCGGGACUGAUUAUUUUGUGACUGAGUGGCGGACGGGUGAGUAACGCGUGGGUAACCUGCCUUGUACAGGGGGAUAACAGUUGGAAACGGCUGCUAAUACCGCAUAAGCGCACGGCAUCGCAUGAUGCAGUGUGAAAAACUCCGGUGGUAUAAGAUGGACCCGCGUUGGAUUAGCUAGUUGGUGAGGUAACGGCCCACCAAGGCGACGAUCCAUAGCCGACCUGAGAGGGUGACCGGCCACAUUGGGACUGAGACACGGCCCAAACUCCUACGGGAAGCAGCAGUGGGGAAUAUUGCACAAUGGGCGAAAGCCUGAUGCAGCGACGCCGCGUGAGCGAAGAAGUAUUUCGGUAUGUAAAGCUCUAUCAGCAGGGAAGAUAAUGACGGUACCUGACGAAGAAGCACCGGCUAAAUACGUG
RNAcentral lists this ribosomal RNA (481 nucleotides) under uncultured bacterium. Its description in RNAcentral is "partial 16S ribosomal RNA". It matches the Rfam family "Bacterial small subunit ribosomal RNA", at positions 28 to 507 of the family's 1533-position model. The record is from RNAcentral.